GAUGAACGCUGGCGGCGUGCCUAAUACAUGCAAGUCGAGCGAACAGAUGAGGAGCUUGCUUCUCUGACGUUAGCGGCGGACGGGUGAGUAACACGUGGAUAACCUACCUAUAAGACUGGGAUAACUUCGGGAAACCGGAGCUAAUACCGGAUAAUAUAUUGAACCGCAUGGUUCAAUAGUGAAAGACGGUUUUGCUGUCACUUAUAGAUGGAUCCGCGCCGCAUUAGCUAGUUGGUAAGGUAACGGCUUACCAAGGCAACGAUGCGUAGCCGACCUCAGAGGGUGAUCGGCCACACUGGAACUGAGACACGGUCCAGACUCCUACGGGAGGCAGCAGUAGGGAAUCUUCCGCAAUGGGCGAAAGCCUGACGGAGCAACGCCGCGUGAGUGAUGAAGGUCUUCGGAUCGUAAAACUCUGUUAUUAGGGAAGAACAAAUGUGUAAGUAACUAUGCACGUCUUGACGGUACCUAAUCAGAAAGCCACGGCUAACUACGUG
Molecule: ribosomal RNA, 497 nt
Filed under: uncultured bacterium
Lineage: Bacteria
Description: partial 16S ribosomal RNA
Rfam family: Bacterial small subunit ribosomal RNA
Source: RNAcentral